UACAGAGGUCUCAAGCGUUGUUCGGAUUCAUUGGGCGUAAAGGGUGCGUAGGCGGCGCGGUAAGUCGGGUGUGAAAUCUCGGAGCUUAACUCCGAAACUGCAUUCGAUACUGGCGUGCUUGAGGACUGGAGAGGAGACUGGAAUUCAUGGUGUAGCGGUGAAAUGCGUAGAGAUGUGGAGGAACACCAGUGGCGAAGGCGACUCUUUGGCCUGUAACUGACGCUGAGGCGCGAAAGCGUGGGGAGCAAACAGG
This 253-nucleotide ribosomal RNA is filed under the name uncultured bacterium. RNAcentral describes it as "partial 16S ribosomal RNA". It matches the Rfam family "Bacterial small subunit ribosomal RNA", at positions 524 to 776 of the family's 1533-position model. The record is from RNAcentral.